RNAcentral lists this ribosomal RNA (588 nucleotides) under uncultured bacterium. RNAcentral describes it as "bacterial SSU rRNA". It matches the Rfam family "Bacterial small subunit ribosomal RNA", at positions 338 to 941 of the family's 1533-position model. The record is from RNAcentral.
CCUACGGGAGGCAGCAGUGGGGAAUAUUGGGCAAUGGAGGAAACUCUGACCCAGCGACGCCGCGUGCGGGAUGAAGGCCUUCGGGUUGUAAACCGCUUUCAGUAGGGAAGAAGCGAAAGUGACGGUACCUACAAAAGAAGCACCGGCUAACUAUGUGCCAGCAGCCGCGGUAAUACAUAGGGUGCAAGCGUUGUCCGGAAUUAUUGGGCGUAAAGAGCUCGUAGGUCGUUUGUUACGUCGGAUGUGAAAACCUGAGGCUCAACCUCAGGCCUGCAUUCGAUACGGGCAAACUAGAGUUUGGUAGGGGAGACUGGAAUUCCUGGUGUAGCGGUGGAAUGCGCAGAUAUCAGGAGGAACACCAAUGGCGAAGGCAGGUCUCUGGGCCAAUACUGACACUGAGGAGCGAAAGUCUGGGGAGCGAACAGGGUUAGAUACCCUGGUAGUCCAGACCGUAAACGGUGGGCACUAGUUGUGGGAACCUUCCACGGUUUCUGCGACGCAGCUAACGCAUUAAGUGCCCCGCUGGGGAUACGAUCGCAAGNUUAAAACNAANGAAUGACGNGNGAGANGCGAGAGACACGAGGAGAG